UACGUAGGUGACAAGCGUUGUCCGGAUUUACUGGGCGUAAAGAGCGCGCAGGCGGUCGUACAAGUCGCGUGUGAAAGCCCCCGGCUCAACUGGGGAGGGUCACGCGAUACUGUUCGACUCGAAGGCAGGAGAGGGUAGUGGAAUUCCCGGUGUAGUGGUGAAAUGCGUAGAUAUCGGGAGGAACACCAGUGGCGAAGGCGACUACCUGGCCUGUUCUUGACGCUGAGGCGCGAAAGCUAGGGUAGCAAACGGG
This 253-nucleotide ribosomal RNA is filed under the name uncultured bacterium. RNAcentral's name for it is "partial 16S ribosomal RNA". It matches the Rfam family "Bacterial small subunit ribosomal RNA", at positions 524 to 776 of the family's 1533-position model. The record is from RNAcentral.